GACGAACGCUGGCGGCGUGCUUAACACAUGCAAGUCGAGCGGUAAGGCCUUUCGGGGUACACGAGCGGCGAACGGGUGAGUAACACGUGGGUGAUCUGCCCUGCACUUCGGGAUAAGCCUGGGAAACUGGGUCUAAUACCGGAUAUGACCUCCUAUCGCAUGGUGGGUGGUGGAAAGAUUUAUCGGUGCAGGAUGGGCCCGCGGCCUAUCAGCUUGUUGGUGGGGUAAUGGCCUACCAAGGCGACGACGGGUAGCCGACCUGAGAGGGUGACCGGCCACACUGGGACUGAGACACGGCCCAGACUCCUACGGGAGGCAGCAGUGGGGAAUAUUGCACAAUGGGCGAAAGCCUGAUGCAGCGACGCCGCGUGAGGGAUGACGGCCUUCAGGUUGUAAACCUCUUUCAGCAGGGACGAAGCGCAAGUGACGGUACCUGCAGAAGAAGCACCGGCUAACUACGUG
RNAcentral lists this ribosomal RNA (462 nucleotides) under uncultured bacterium. Its description in RNAcentral is "partial 16S ribosomal RNA". It matches the Rfam family "Bacterial small subunit ribosomal RNA", at positions 28 to 507 of the family's 1533-position model. The record is from RNAcentral.